This 503-nucleotide ribosomal RNA is filed under the name uncultured bacterium. RNAcentral's name for it is "partial 16S ribosomal RNA". It matches the Rfam family "Bacterial small subunit ribosomal RNA", at positions 30 to 523 of the family's 1533-position model. The record is from RNAcentral.
AUUGAACGCUGGCGGCAGGCUUAACACAUGCAAGUCGAGCGGGGUGAUGGUGCUUGCACUAUCACUUAGCGGCGGACGGGUGAGUAAUGCUUAGGAAUCUGCCUAUUAGUGGGGGACAACAUCUCGAAAGGGAUGCUAAUACCGCAUACGUCCUACGAGAGAAAGCAGGGGAUCACUUGUGACCUUGCGCUAAUAGAUGAGCCUAAGUCGGAUUAGCUAGGUGGUGGGGUAAAGGCCUAACAAGGAGACGAUCUGUAGCGGGUCUGAGAGGAUGAUCCGCCACACUGGGACUGAGACACGGCCCAGACUCCUACGGGAGGCAGCAGUGGGGAAUAUUGGACAAUGGGGGGAACCCUGAUCCAGCCAUGCCGCGUGUGUGAAGAAGGCCUUAUGGUUGUAAAGCACUUUAAGCGAGGAGGAGGCUCUUUUGGUUAAUACCCAAGAUGAGUGGACGUUACUCGCAGAAUAAGCACCGGCUAACUCUGUGCCAGCAGCCGCGGUAA